Molecule: long non-coding RNA, 1261 nt
Filed under: Hordeum vulgare
Lineage: Eukaryota; Viridiplantae; Streptophyta; Magnoliopsida; Poales; Poaceae
Description: long non-coding RNA (HVUL_LNC002890)
Source: RNAcentral
AAAUCAUAAAAAUAUGUAAAAACCCUCGCUUGGUCUCCUUUAACAUCUUGGCAAGCAACACAAACGCCUCGUAUAGGCUUCCACACAACUGACAGCAAUCAACGCUUCCUCCGCAUUCAUAAAAAACAUGUAUUAAUGCAUCCACAUUGCUCUAAAAUUUUAUCAUACUUUCGACAAAACUAUAUUUGACAAAUGGGAAUCAACUUGAUCGUAUUACACAAUCAGCUAGCAAUUGAGAACAUUCAUAUUCGUCUCAUCGUCGGUCGGUAUCGUUGAUCGGAGCUCUCCCGCGUCCCUCCCCGCGUGGCCUGCCCGGGAGCCAAUCCUAGCUGCUGGUGAACCUCCACAACCCGCCAACCCUCCUCUCCCUGCCACUGUCGGAGGGCGGCGGCGGCACUAUUUUACAACUCCAUCUAUUAUCUAUAUUCAAAGGUGACCCUACGUGAAUAUGAGAGAACAAAUUGAGUUCUGGUUACCUUGCCAUUUCAACUGCAAGUGUCUUGCAGUACACAAUAAGAAAGUAUGCUCAUUUUCUUGAAAUUUAAAUCUUUUGCAGAAUUUUUUACCUCUCAUCAAUCCAUCAUUGAACACAUAUAUCCACUACUGCCCAUAACUGGUUGGAUAACCUGAUAACUGCGUAGAGUAAAGAGUACUUGCCCGCAAUGUAUGUUUGUUCCAAGACACAAAUGCAAAAUUCAGAGAUAUCAUGCUAUGGUCUAGGGAUGACUCUGGUUCCUGAACUGAAGAAGAACAAAACAAUAAGCCGAACAACAAACCUUACCUGGAUCACCUUGCUGCCAUCUUCCAUAGUAAAAAGAAUAGGAAAUUGCUAACUUAAAUCGCACUUAUUAGAGAACAACCUGAAAGAACAAUAAGUGCCUUAUAAAAAUAAAUCUGUGGAGAGCUCCACUUGCAAUGAAACCACUGCGUUCUUUAUGCAUUUUAUAAUUUAUCAGUGCAAUUUAGCAACUGGGCCUCAUAAAUAAAGUUGUAAAAAGCAGUGGCUGGCCUUUCAUCAAACAUCUUCUAUAGUCUUUGUCAUGGCCGCCACACCUCAGGGCCGGCAUAUCCCCUCUGACGGAGAGAGUAAGAGAGAGACUUAGAGAGAGGGGGAGAGAGUGUGGACUGGAUUGGGGACUCACCAACGGGCGGAGCUCCAGGACCAGAACAAAAGGGAAGCCAUCCCCGAUGACCUCCUUCUCCCGAGACGGUGCACACACACGCGCACGCCUCCUGUUCAGUGCCGACGAGGAGGCCCCCU